GCACAGCAGCAGUUUCCUUUAGCCAAAUCCCGAAAGCCUCUAAGGGUUUGCACACAAGGCUUGGAACUGAGCUCAGUAGGUCACCACUGCUGCACCAAAGCUGGGAGGGCUCGCCGGGACCGGUGACAGUGCUCUGUCUGCUGCGAGGCCAAGAUGUUGCUGUCUGCUGAACAUGGAGGAUGACGUUGCGAGCUUUCUCUCACGUGCAUCAAAUGGUGAUGUUAGCUGAGCGCUCUGAGGAUCUGAUGCAAGGGUGGACGUGUGUAUGAAGGGUACUGCCAUAACAUUUCAUGGUCAUUAAGAACGUACAGGUUCUACUUAUUUAACCAUAACACCUUUAAGGAGAGCAGUGGAAACAACCAGCAAUCUUCUGUACGAGAACCUGAAAGCAGCUUCCUGCAGUCCGCACCUCUACUGCAUGGCACCAUGCAACAAGGCUGGCUAAAGGGGGAUACCACCUUGCUUUGUCUGCAGUUGGCUUGGGGUCCUGCUGGGGUUUACGGUGUGCAGACCACAACGUGGGCUUCAUCUGCUCGGCAUGCCAGCACAGGGGUUUGAACUGCCUUUGACAGCACCUCAUGGAGCCACAUUGGUGUGAUCCAGGGCAGUGAUACACAGCAACCCUGCUGGGGGCUGACACACCAGGGCUCAGCACUUCCAGCUGCUUUGCUGCAAUGCCUCCCCACGAGCCCACCCCGGCGGGUCCCCAGCAGGAGGCCAAUCCUGGGAACAGAGGACUGCAAGUCGGUGCCGCCGCUGCCGGUUAUCUGCCCAGCCCUGGCAUCCCGCCUCGAGAGCCCCUCCUGGGCUGCGUUGGCUGAGCAAACCCGAGAGCGGGGCAACGGUCAGAGCGACAGAAAUGACUCGCUGGGGGAGAAGUGCAGCGAGAUGGGCUCCAGGAGAGAUGAGUCACUGCCGAGCUGCACUCCAGAAACAGCUCACAGAGCCAGCUGCUGCUGUUCGGAAGAUGAACUUACUGGGCUCUGCAGGCUGGCAACAGGGGCGCGGUAGAUGAGCUUGGCUUCAGCUAUUUCAGCGCACGCAGAAGGUGGAUCCAUUUGUGCCUGGGAAGAACGGGAAGCCGGGCGUGCAGAAGCUGUCCUGAAGCUCUGGUGGUCAGCCCGGGCAGCUCCAACACAGGCAGCGCUCCUUAUACCGCACUUACUCGUCUGUUAAUCAUUAAACACUGAUUAGAAAAGGCAAAACAGACAAUGCCUCGAAGGUGGUUCUGACUUUGCGGCCUUCCAGUACUUGAAGGGAGCUUACAGGCAGGAGAGGGAGUGACUUUGUACAUGGUCUGCUAGUGAUAGGGCAAGGGAGAAUGGCAUUUAACUACCAGAGGGAAGAUUUAGGUUAGAUGUGAGGAGGAAAUUCUUUACUCAGAGGGCAAUGAGGCACUGACAGUGCUGCCCAGAGCUGUGGGUGUCACAACCCUGGAGGUGCCCAAGGCCAGGUUGGAUGGGCCCUGGGCAGCCUGAGCUGGUGGGGGACACCCAGCCCACAGCAGGAGCUGGGGCAGGGGUGGCUUUGGGUCCCUUCCAGCCCAAGCCAUUCUGUGAUUCUAUGAUUCUAUGUCUUUGAAAUGGCUCUGUAUCUUGCAGUGGCCACUAUUACUUAAGGUAGAAGAGCCUAAAAUUAAACAUUUAUAUUUUGCUCCUUUACAGUUGGCUUCUUUGUUUUCAGGAUCACAUUCGGCCAUCGCCCAGUCUGUGCUGCAGGGUGAGACAGGGAAUGUGCCAAAGAGGAAAGG
This is a long non-coding RNA of Gallus gallus (chicken), 1750 nucleotides long. NCBI's taxonomy places the organism in Eukaryota, Metazoa, Chordata, Aves, Galliformes, Phasianidae. The record is from Ensembl.